GAUGAAGAACGUAGCGAAAUGCGAUAAGUAAUGUGAAUUGCAGAAUUCAGUGAAUUAUCGAAUCUUUGAACGCACAUUGCGCCCCUUGGUAUUCCGAGGGGCAUGCCUGUUCGAGCGUCAUUAUAACCCCUCAAGCUCAGCUUGGUGUUGGGGCCUGCUGCACUGGCAGCCCUUAAAAUCAGUGGCGGCGCCAUCUGGCUCUAAGCGUAGUAAUUCUUCUCGCUAUGGAGUCCUGGUGGAUGCUUGCCAUCAACCCCCAAUUUUUCUAUGGUUGACCUCGGAUCAGGUAGGGAUACCCGCUGAACUUAAGCAUAUCAAUAAGCGGAGGA
RNAcentral lists this unclassified non-coding RNA (329 nucleotides) under soil metagenome. RNAcentral's name for it is "partial contains 5.8S ribosomal RNA, internal transcribed spacer 2, and large subunit ribosomal RNA". The stretch from base 1 to 120 matches the Rfam family "5.8S ribosomal RNA", at positions 35 to 154 of the family's 154-position model. The record is from RNAcentral.